UUGAUUUUGGGGAGCUGCCGCCCUGCCCCUCAAAAUAAAUCUG
Molecule: small nucleolar RNA, 43 nt
Organism: Sorex araneus (European shrew)
Lineage: Eukaryota; Metazoa; Chordata; Mammalia; Eulipotyphla; Soricidae
Source: Ensembl